RNAcentral lists this transfer RNA (87 nucleotides) under Thermomonospora cellulosilytica. RNAcentral's name for it is "Actinomadura cellulosilytica tRNA-OTHER". Lineage: Bacteria; Bacillati; Actinomycetota; Actinomycetes; Streptosporangiales; Thermomonosporaceae. The record is from RNAcentral.
UCCGGACUGGGGCGAACGGGCAUCCACAGACUUGGAAAGCGUGUUGGUGGCAACGCCUCGCGAGUUCGAAUCUCGCAUCCUCCGCCA